AUACGGAGGGUGCAAGCGUUGUCCGGAUUUAUUGGGUUUAAAGGGUGCGUAGGUGGUUUUUUAAGUCAGUGGUGAAAGCCUACAGCUUAACUGUAGAGGUGCCAUUGAUACUGGGGAACUUGAGUAUGGACGAGGUAGGCGGAAUUUGUGGUGUAGCGGUGAAAUGCAUAGAUACCACAAGGAACACCGAUAGCGAAGGCAGCUUACUGGGCCAUAACUGACACUGAGGCACGAAAGCGUGGGGAGCGAACAGGAUUAGAAACCCCGGUAGUCC
This 274-nucleotide ribosomal RNA is filed under the name uncultured bacterium. RNAcentral describes it as "partial 16S ribosomal RNA". It matches the Rfam family "Bacterial small subunit ribosomal RNA", at positions 523 to 796 of the family's 1533-position model. The record is from RNAcentral.